Molecule: transfer RNA, 68 nt
Filed under: Marmota monax (woodchuck)
Lineage: Eukaryota; Metazoa; Chordata; Mammalia; Rodentia; Sciuridae
Description: tRNA.Ala
Source: RNAcentral
GGAUUGUGGCUCAGUGGCAGAGCGCUUGCCUUGCACAUAUGAGGUAUUGGGUUUGAUUCUCAGCACCA